AUUGAACGCUGGCGGAAUGCUUUACACAUGCAAGUCGAACGGCAGCACGGACUUCGGUCUGGUGGCGAGUGGCGAACGGGUGAGUAAUAUAUCGGAACGUAUCCAAUAAUGGGGGAUAACUAAUCGAAAGGUUGGCUAAUACCGCAUACGUCCUACGGGAGAAAGCUAGGGACCUUCGGGCCUGGCGUUAAUGGAGCGGCCGAUAUCGGAUUAGCUAGUUGGUGAGGUAAAGGCUCACCAAGGCGACGAUCCGUAGCUGGUCUGAGAGGACGACCAGCCACACUGGAACUGAGACACGGUCCAGACUCCUACGGGAGGCAGCAGUGGGGAAUUUUGGACAAUGGGCGAAAGCCUGAUCCAGCCAUUCCGCGUGAGUGAAGAAGGCCUUCGGGCUGUAAAGCUCUUUCGCAAGAGAAGAAAACUUACCCUCUAACAUAGGGUGAGGUUGACGGUAUCUUGAUGAGAAGCACCGGCUAACUACGUGCCAGCAGCCGCCGUAA
RNAcentral lists this ribosomal RNA (500 nucleotides) under uncultured bacterium. RNAcentral's name for it is "partial 16S ribosomal RNA". It matches the Rfam family "Bacterial small subunit ribosomal RNA", at positions 30 to 523 of the family's 1533-position model. The record is from RNAcentral.